AACCGCGGUUAGACGAGAGGCCCCAGUUGAUUAUAUACGGCGUAAAGGGUGGUUAGGGAAAAUAAAAAAUAAAGCCGAACGGCCCCUUGGCUGUCAUACGCUCCUGGGAGCCAGAAGCCCUACUACGAAGGUGGCUUUAAAAACACCUGAACCCACGAAAGCUAAGGAA
This 169-nucleotide ribosomal RNA is filed under the name Opsaridium zambezense. Its description in RNAcentral is "partial 12S rRNA". Lineage: Eukaryota; Metazoa; Chordata; Actinopteri; Cypriniformes; Danionidae. The record is from RNAcentral.